Molecule: long non-coding RNA, 2142 nt
Organism: Loxodonta africana (African savanna elephant)
Lineage: Eukaryota; Metazoa; Chordata; Mammalia; Proboscidea; Elephantidae
Exons: 3
Source: RefSeq, a predicted model, not a curated record
UUUACAGACCUGUCUACCCUUUGGCUGAAGGGUGAACUUUGGGAUCAACCUGCAUGUUGACCUCAACAAUGUGCCCCAUGUUUCUGAACACAAUCAGCUGAAAAAAUUCCAUGAAUAAUCAGGGUCUAUCCCAUAAACAAGGGAUUGUCCGAGUCUGACCUGUUCUGAUUGUCUAUACCGCCAGCAGGAUGGCAUUCGUCCACCUUACUGAUGACCGAGAACGUGAAUGGGAGGACAUCCUGAGGUGUUUUGCAUGAGAGUGCCGAUUUUGCAUGACGACCUGGUCUUUGGAGCCUAAACAUGUCGGUAAGUGAGGAGUGAAUGUAAUCUCAACAUUUGUAUUGGCUUGAGUUUCUCAGCAUCCUGCACAGAAGCCAGUUCAGCUAUAUUCACUGUCACCAAAUCUCCAAUCCCUUCCACCUCAACCGAACACUUCAAUCCUACUGGACCAACAUCUCCUCCUCCUGACCUGCCUGGACCGUUGCCAUUUCACUACCUAACAGUGACUCUUGCGAAGAAUGGAGAGAUUCCUUUCUCCACGAAGUGGAAAUCAUCCCUUCUGGAUCUGGUUCUGGACCUGAUAACUGGCCCAGAUCCCACUAUUUCAACUCAUAGAUGCCCAAGCCUAUUGAAGGGCUCGUAGCUCCACCUCCAAGUAUUUCACAACUGGUAUUCCUGGAAACCUUCUUAACUGAAGCCCGAUCAGCUUUAGAUACUGUGCGGAGUCUUUGUCUAGACAAACCAGAACGUAUACCUGAUUUGCUUGCAGGAAUAGCUUAAGAGGUGUAAAGGACCACAGGCAAAUAGCUGAUGGGCUCUUGAAACCUCAAUAGCCGGUCUAACCUCCCAGCAAGGUAGACCUAAAUAUAUUCAUACAGCUCUUUGCUGCCAGGCUUGUACCCAUCUAGGCAAAAUGAGGACUCACCCUUUUGGUAGUCUCUACAAUUGUGAGCUCAGAAUAUAUAUUCAAUUACUAAUAGCAUACACGUGGCUGCACGUACCAGCUUCUUUUGCUAAUGUACAAACCCCUAGCAUUUUAAUCUCCCUCUUCCUUGACCACUGAAAUGCUAGAUCCACUUUUGCCCUAUAAGGGUAAUGUACUUUUAUUAGCAUAGAUCGAGUAAGGCUUAAUGGUAUCAGAUCCAUUCCACAUCACCACCGGAUGUCUAAACAUAUGUUAGAAGAUACCUUUGCUCCUUUGUGUUCUGAUUACUGGGAUCACCAUUUUACAUAUUCACGGAUGGGAAAAACCCAGAAGUCAGCCACAUAUGGCGAUCCCUAUGCUGACUUUUGGGAUGUGGACCGUAGAUCUAAAUGUGUUAAGCAAGAAGAUAAUUUUUGUUCUCUGUUUUCCUCCCUGGAUGAUUCUUACCAGGCCGUGAAGCAAUAUUUUACUUUCCAGAGGAUAUGCCCUUAAUAAUUAUCAUGAUCUUGUUGGCUCGGAGCGUCUAUGUAAAGAACGGAUUGCCAUCACUUUGAUCCAUACAAUCUCUGAUCAUGUGACUGGCACAUAGCUGCUUUGACAAAGGGCUCAUAUCACACGGCCCAUUGGCAAUGGACCCAUGUAUGGAGUGAAGAUUACAUGGACUACUGCGAAUCUUCUGACUCUCACAAUAACCUUAUUUUCUCCAGUCCCACGGAACUUUUGCUAGACCUACUGAGAAACUGUUCUGUGAACAUUCCCAAUGUAAGUGACUUAUCUCACCGUUACCUUAUAAAAACUAUGUGAGAUGCGGUGUCCCUUGGCAAUAUGAUGUUUCUACUGAUGAAAUAUGACUCAUUUGGUCACAGAAUGGCCUAAUCUCUGUCACUGUGGUAAUCUCACAUGUUGUUAUUGUUAGGUGCCCCCGAGUCAGUUCCAACUCAUAGCGAUCCUAUGCACAACAGCAAAGCACUGCCCAGUCCUGUGCCAUCCUCACAAUCGUAGCUGUGUUACCGUACAUAACACCAUAUUAGCUACUGCAGAGAAAACAUUCUUUAAUCCUAACCAUUUUGGAGGGCACACAAGGACUUCCUUGGAUUUGCAGAACUCAACUAGAGACACAGACUUUUUACUAUGAUACUUACUGACCGAAAUUAUAUUAACUAUCAACAAAAUCUGAAUUUGGACCCCCCCAACUGAAAAUUGGAGACCCUGGUGGU